GGGGCUGGGGCUCAGCGGUAGAGCGUUCACUUCGCAUGUGGGAGGUGCUGGGUUCAAUCCUCAGCACCA
RNAcentral lists this transfer RNA (69 nucleotides) under Ictidomys tridecemlineatus (thirteen-lined ground squirrel). RNAcentral's name for it is "Spermophilus tridecemlineatus (thirteen-lined ground squirrel) tRNA". It matches the Rfam family "tRNA". Rfam says of the family: Transfer RNA (tRNA) molecules are approximately 80 nucleotides in length. Their secondary structure includes four short double-helical elements and three loops (D, anti-codon, and T loops). Lineage: Eukaryota; Metazoa; Chordata; Mammalia; Rodentia; Sciuridae. The record is from Rfam by way of RNAcentral.